UGGGGAUAAACAACAUGUAAUAUAUUCCAUAAACCUUAUUUUAACAAAACACAAUCACAAAUUCAAAACUGUCAAAACUGAUAAUGGACUAGAGUUCAAAAUCCCUUCUUUUUAUGCAUCACAUGGCAUUGUCCAUCAGACAAGUUAUGUAGAAUCUCUCUAACAAAAUGGGCAUGUCGAGAGGAACACCAACAAAUUAUGAAUAUUGCAAGAGUUACCCUUUUACAAUCCAAUUUACCCAAACCAUAUUGGUCAUAUGUUAUCUUACAUGCCUCAUUCAUUAUGAAUAGAACUCAUAGCUAUAUCCUGAACAACAAAUUU
Molecule: long non-coding RNA, 321 nt
Filed under: Lathyrus oleraceus (garden pea)
Lineage: Eukaryota; Viridiplantae; Streptophyta; Magnoliopsida; Fabales; Fabaceae
Description: Pisum sativum (pea) long non-coding RNA (PSAT_LNC033659)
Source: RNAcentral